AACGAACGCUGGCGGCAUGCCUAACACAUGCAAGUCGAACGAGACCUUCGGGUCUAGUGGCGCACGGGUGCGUAACGCGUGGGAACCUGCCCUUAGGUUCGGAAUAACUCCCCGAAAGGGGUGCUAAUACCGGAUAAUGUCUUCGGACCAAAGAUUUAUCGCCUUUGGAUGGGCCCGCGUUGGAUUAGCUAGUUGGUAGGGUAAAAGCCUACCAAGGCGACGAUCCAUAGCUGGUCUGAGAGGAUGAUCAGCCACACUGGGACUGAGACACGGCCCAGACUCCUACGGGAGGCAGCAGUGGGGAAUAUUGGACAAUGGGCGAAAGCCUGAUCCAGCAAUGCCGCGUGAGUGAUGAAGGCCUUAGGGUUGUAAAGCUCUUUUACCCGGGAUGAUAAUGACAGUACCGGGUGAAUAAGCUCCGGCUAACUCCGU
RNAcentral lists this ribosomal RNA (432 nucleotides) under uncultured bacterium. Its description in RNAcentral is "partial 16S ribosomal RNA". It matches the Rfam family "Bacterial small subunit ribosomal RNA", at positions 29 to 506 of the family's 1533-position model. The record is from RNAcentral.